GCAGACAGUCUGCAGAGAUCAGUGUGUGGAAACAAAAGGUGGAGGCUCACACAGAGUGAGGAAAGCGUCUAUCCUGUGGAGAGAAGCCGUGCUGUCAUUCAAAUCAGAAUGUUAACUCUCAUCUGGGUGAUUCUGCUCUUCGCUGACACAGGUUCUGGGACUCCUGAGUGUCCAAAGAACAACAGCAUAAUCACACAAAGUGGUAAAAAUGU
Maylandia zebra (zebra mbuna) is the source of this 212-nucleotide non-coding RNA. Lineage: Eukaryota; Metazoa; Chordata; Actinopteri; Cichliformes; Cichlidae. The record is from RefSeq and is a predicted model, not a curated record.